This 694-nucleotide ribosomal RNA is filed under the name uncultured bacterium. RNAcentral describes it as "bacterial SSU rRNA". It matches the Rfam family "Bacterial small subunit ribosomal RNA", at positions 32 to 715 of the family's 1533-position model. The record is from RNAcentral.
AACGCUAGCUACAGGCUUAACACAUGCAAGUCGAGGGGCAGCAGGGAUUUAGCUUGCUAAAUUCGCUGGCGACCGGCGCACGGGUGCGUAACGCGUAUCCAACUUUCCCGUUACUCAGGGAUAGCCUUCCGAAAGGGAGAUUAAUACCUGAUGGUGUUUGAAGUUCGCAUGUUCUUCAAACUAAAGAUUUAUCGGUAACGGAUAGGGAUGCGUGACAUUAGAUAGUAGGCGGGGUAACGGCCCACCUAGUCUACGAUGUCUAGGGGUUCUGAGAGGAAGGUCCCCCACACUGGAACUGAGACACGGUCCAGACUCCUACGGGAGGCAGCAGUGAGGAAUAUUGGUCAAUGGUCGGAAGACUGAACCAGCCAAGUAGCGUGAAGGAUGAAGGUUCUAUGGAUUGUAAACUUCUUUUAUAUAGGAAUAAAACCUCCCACGUGUGGGAGCUUGUAUGUACUAUAUGAAUAAGCAUCGGCUAACUCCGUGCCAGCAGCCGCGGUAAUACGGAGGAUGCGAGCGUUAUCCGGAUUUAUUGGGUUUAAAGGGAGCGUAGACGGGAUGUUAAGUCAGCUGUGAAAGUUUGGGGCUCAACCUUAAAAUUGCAGUUGAUACUGGCGUCCUUGAGUGCGGUUGAGGUAUGUGGAAUUCGUGGUGUAGCGGUGAAAUGCUUAGAUAUCACGAAGAACUCCGAUUG